UCCGAAGGGGGCUAGCGUUGUUCGGAUUUACUGGGCGUAAAGCGCAUGUAGGCGGGUCGUUAAGUUGGGGGUGAAAUCCCGAGGCUCAACCUCGGAACUGCCUUCAAAACUGGCGACCUGGAGCAAGAUAGAGGCAAGUGGAAUUGCGAGUGUAGAGGUGAAAUUCGUAGAUAUUCGCAGGAACACCAGUGGCGAAGGCGACUUGCGGGAUCUUUGCUGACGUUGAGAUGCGAAAGCGUGGGGAGCCAACAGG
RNAcentral lists this ribosomal RNA (253 nucleotides) under uncultured bacterium. RNAcentral's name for it is "partial 16S ribosomal RNA". It matches the Rfam family "Bacterial small subunit ribosomal RNA", at positions 524 to 776 of the family's 1533-position model. The record is from RNAcentral.